This 253-nucleotide ribosomal RNA is filed under the name uncultured bacterium. RNAcentral describes it as "partial 16S ribosomal RNA". It matches the Rfam family "Bacterial small subunit ribosomal RNA", at positions 524 to 776 of the family's 1533-position model. The record is from RNAcentral.
UACGUAGGCAGCGAGCGUUGUUCGGAGUUACUGGGCGUAAAGGGUGCGUAGGCGGUUGUUUAAGUUUGGUGUGAAAUCUCCCGGCUCAACUGGGAGGGUGGUCGCGAGACGGCAGGGCUUGAGGCUCGGUGAGGGGCGUGGAAUUCCGGGUGGAGCGGUGAAAUGCGUAGAGAUCCGGAGGAACACCGACGGCGUAGGCAGCGCCCUAGACGAGAUCUGACGCUCAGGCACGAAAGCGCGGGGAGCGAACAGG